Molecule: ribosomal RNA, 497 nt
Filed under: uncultured bacterium
Lineage: Bacteria
Description: partial 16S ribosomal RNA
Rfam family: Bacterial small subunit ribosomal RNA
Source: RNAcentral
GACGAACGCUGGCGGCGUGCCUAAUACAUGCAAGUAGAACGCUGAAGAGAGGAGCUUGCUCUUCUUGGAUGAGUUGCGAACGGGUGAGUAACGCGUAGGUAACCUGCCUUGUAGCGGGGGAUAACUAUUGGAAACGAUAGCUAAUACCGCAUAACAAUGGAUGACACAUGUCAUUUAUUUGAAAGGGGCAAUUGCUCCACUACAAGAUGGACCUGCGUUGUAUUAGCUAGUAGGUGAGGUAACGGCUCACCUAGGCGACGAUACAUAGCCGACCUGAGAGGGUGAUCGGCCACAAUGGGACUGAGACCCGGCCCAGACUCCUACGGGAGGCAGCAGUAGGGAAUCUUCGUCAAUGGGGGCAACCCUGACCGAGCAACGCCGCGUGAGUGAAGAAGGUUUUCGGAUCGUAAAGCUCUGUUGUAAGUCAAGAACGAGUGUGAGAGUGGAAAGUUCACACUGUGACGGUAGCUUACCAGAAAGGGACGGCUAACUACGUG